RNAcentral lists this transfer RNA (66 nucleotides) under Philonthus lomatus. Its description in RNAcentral is "tRNA-Ser". Lineage: Eukaryota; Metazoa; Arthropoda; Insecta; Coleoptera; Staphylinidae. The record is from RNAcentral.
GAAAUAAGUGAUUCAAAGGUAAGCUUCUAACUUAACCUUUUAGCGAUGAAAUUCGUUAGUAUUUCU